UAGGGAAUCUUCGGCAAUGGGGGGAACCCUGACCGAGCAACGCCGCGUGAGUGAAGAAGGUUUUCGGAUCGUAAAGCUCUGUUGUUAAGGAAGAACGAGUGUGAGAAUGGAAAGUUCAUACUGUGACGGUACUUAACCAGAAAGGGACGGCUAACUACGUGCCAGCAGCCUCGGUAAUACGUAGGUCCCGAGCGUUGUCCGGAUUUAUUGGGCGUAAAGCGAGCGCAGGCGGUUAGAUAAGUCUGAAGUUAAAGGCAGUGGCUCAACCAUUGUAGGCUUUGGAAACUGUUUAACUUGAGUGCAGAAGGGGAGAGUGGAAUUCCAUGUGUAGCGGUGAAAUGCGUAGAUAUAUGGAGGAACACCGGUGGCGAAAGCGGCUCUCUGGUCUGUAACUGACGCUGAGGCUCGAAAGCGUGGGGAGCGAACAGG
This 429-nucleotide ribosomal RNA is filed under the name Bacteroidota bacterium. Its description in RNAcentral is "Bacteroidetes bacterium partial 16S ribosomal RNA". It matches the Rfam family "Bacterial small subunit ribosomal RNA", at positions 355 to 776 of the family's 1533-position model. The record is from RNAcentral. Lineage: Bacteria; Pseudomonadati; Bacteroidota.